GGGUUAGUAGGUUGGUCAUGCCUCUGGUAUGUACUGAUCUCACUGAUUCCUCCCUCUUGACGAACUGUAAUGUCAUUAAUUUGGUGUUGCAGGAAAUCGGGACUGGUUUUACUUUGAAAAUUAGAGUGUUUAAAGCAGGCUUAGGCUUGAAUACAUUAGCAUGGAAUAAUGAAAUAGGACGUUUGAUCCUAUUUUGUUGGUUUCUAGGAUCGACGUAAUGAU
Molecule: ribosomal RNA, 222 nt
Filed under: uncultured Glomeromycotina
Lineage: Eukaryota; Fungi; Glomeromycota
Description: partial 18S ribosomal RNA
Rfam family: Eukaryotic small subunit ribosomal RNA
Source: RNAcentral